Molecule: ribosomal RNA, 1362 nt
Filed under: uncultured bacterium
Lineage: Bacteria
Description: bacterial SSU rRNA
Rfam family: Bacterial small subunit ribosomal RNA
Source: RNAcentral
GAUGAACGCUAGCGGCACGCCUAAUACAUGCAAGUCGGACGGGAUCUAGAUCUAAGCUUGCUUAGAUUUAGUGAGAGUGGCGCACGGGUGCCUAACGCGUGAGCAACCUACCCAUAUCAGGGGGAUAGCCCGGAGAAAUCCGGAUUAAGACCGCAUAACACAACGACUCGGCAUCGAGAUGUUGUUAAAUAUUUAUAGGACAUGGAUGGGCUCGCGUGACAUUAGCUAGUUGGUAAGCGUAACGGCCUACCAAGGCUACGAUGUCUAGGGGCUCUGAGAGGACAAUCCCCCACACUGGUACUGAGACACGGACCAGACUCCUACGGGAGGCAGCAGUAAGGAAUAUUGGUCCAUGGAGGGAACUCUGAACCAGCCAUGCCGCGUGCAGGAUGACUGCCCUAUGGGUUGUAAACUGCUUUUGUCCAGGAAUAACCACCACUACGUGUAGUGGCUUGAAUGUACUGCAAGAAUAACGAUCGGCUAACUCCGUGCCAUCAGCCGCGGUCAUACGGAGGAGCCGAGCGCUGUCCCGGAUUUAUUGGGUUAAAAGGGCGCGUAGGCGGCUCAUUAAGUCAGGGGUGAAAGACGGCAGCUCAACUGUCGCAGUGCCUUUGAUACUGAUGAGCUUGAAUGUGGUUGAAGAUGGCGGAAUGAGACAAGUAGCGGUGAAAUGCAUAGAUAUGUCUCAGAACUCCGAUUGCGAAGGCAGCUGUCUAAGUCAUUAUUGACGCUGAUGUACGAAAGCGUGGGGAUCGAACAGGAUUAGAUACCCUGGUAGUCCACGCCCUAAACGAUGAUAACUCGAUGUUGGCGAUACACAGUCAGCGUCUUAGCGAAAGCGUUAAGUUAUCCACCUGGGGAGUACGCCCGCAAGGGUGAAACUCAAAGGAAUUGACGGGGGCCCGCACAAGCGGAGGAGCAUGUGGUUUAAUUCGAUGAUACGCGAGGAACCUUACCCGGGCUUGAAAGUUACUGAAUUAUCUAGAGAUAGAUAAGUCCUUCGGGACAGGAAACUAGGUGCUGCAUGGCUGUCGUCAGCUCGUGCCGUGAGGUGUUGGGUUAAGUCCCGCAACGAGCGCAACCCCUAUGUUUAGUUGCCAGCAUGUAAUGAUGGGGACUCUAAACAGACUGCCAGCGUAAGCUGUGAGGAAGGUGGGGACGACGUCAAGUCAUCAUGGCCCUUACGUCCGGGGCUACACACGUGCUACAAUGGAUGGUACAGCGGGCAGCUACCUGGUAACAGGAUGCUAAUCUCGAAAAGCCAUUCACAGUUCGGAUUGAGGUCUGCAACUCGACCUCAUGAAGUUGGAUUCGCUAGUAAUCGCGUAUCAGCAAUGACGCGGUGAAUACGUUCCCGGGCCU